This is a small nucleolar RNA of Talpa occidentalis (Iberian mole), 123 nucleotides long. RefSeq annotates it as small nucleolar RNA SNORA22. The transcript has a single exon. Lineage: Eukaryota; Metazoa; Chordata; Mammalia; Eulipotyphla; Talpidae. The record is from RefSeq and is a predicted model, not a curated record.
UUGCCCACACAGGUGUGCUUUAUAGUUCUCUUGUCUUUGACUCUGCUAAAGCAAUGCCUGUUCUUUACCUCUGCGUUGAAAGGACUUUAUCUUUUUAAACAUAUUCAGAAAGUUAUCACAUUA